UACACGCUGUGACUAGCAUAUCAAUAAGCGGAGGAAAAGAAACUAACAAGGAUUCCCCUAGUAACGGCGAGUGAAGCGGGAAGAGCUCAAAUUUGAAAUCUUAAAGGGUUUCCCUUUACGAAUUGUAGUUUAAAGAAGUGUUUUCUGUUGAGGUUUUGGUAAAAGUUCUUUGGAAUAGGACAUCAUAGAGGGUGAGAAUCCCGUAUUUGACCUUUACUUUCAACUUUGUGAUACACUUUCAAAGAGUCGGAUUGUUUGGGAAUGCAGUCCAAAAUGGGUGGUAAAUUUCAUCUAAAGCUAAAUAUUGGCGAGAGACCGAUAGCGAACAAGUACCGUGAGGGAAAGAUGAAAAGAACUUUGAAAAGAGAGUUAAACAGUACGUGAAAUUGUCAAAAGGGAAGCGUUUGACACCAGUGUUGUUUUUCUGAAAAUCAAUUAAAGAACUGUUUAUGCUAAGCUGUUUAGACUUUAUCAGCUAUCUGUUUAGUUUUGAGCUUUUCUUUAAUGCACUUUUCAGUUAACAAGUCAACAUCAAUUUCUUUUGCUGUAAAAAAGCUUGAGGAAGGUGGCUUGAGAUUCGUCUUAAGUGUUUAUAGCCUCUUGCCUAUGCAGUCGGAGAGAUUGAGGUCUGCAGCGUAGAUCCUUCGGGGCUAAAUGCACUUUGUGCUAAGUUAUAGCAUUUUCAUAGACAACUUGUUGACUAUGAUUUGUCUUGUAGCUUACUCGCUUAUGUUAUUUUACCUACGCUUAGGAUGUUGACGCGCGUGUGUGCGUG
RNAcentral lists this ribosomal RNA (775 nucleotides) under uncultured Neocallimastigales. Its description in RNAcentral is "partial large subunit ribosomal RNA". It matches the Rfam family "Eukaryotic large subunit ribosomal RNA", at positions 22 to 639 of the family's 3401-position model. Lineage: Eukaryota; Fungi; Neocallimastigomycota; Neocallimastigomycetes; Neocallimastigales. The record is from RNAcentral.